UACGUAGGGUGCGAGCGUUGCCCGGAUUUAUUGGGCGUAAAGAGCGUGUAGGCGGCCAGGUAGGUCAGCUGUGAAAACUCGAGGCUCAACCUCGAGACGCCGGUUGAAACCAUCUGGCUAGAGUCCGGAAGAGGAGAGUGGAAUUCCUGGUGUAGCGGUGAAAUGCGCAGAUAUCAGGAAGAACACCCGUGGCUAAGGCGGCUCUCUAGUACGGUACUGACGCUGAGACGCGAAAGCGUGGGGAGCGAACAGG
This 253-nucleotide ribosomal RNA is filed under the name uncultured bacterium. Its description in RNAcentral is "partial 16S ribosomal RNA". It matches the Rfam family "Bacterial small subunit ribosomal RNA", at positions 524 to 776 of the family's 1533-position model. The record is from RNAcentral.